UAGGUCCGGACUCAGCCAGUUGCU
RNAcentral lists this non-coding RNA (24 nucleotides) under Mus musculus (house mouse). The record is from RNAcentral. Lineage: Eukaryota; Metazoa; Chordata; Mammalia; Rodentia; Muridae.